This 249-nucleotide ribosomal RNA is filed under the name uncultured bacterium. Its description in RNAcentral is "partial 16S ribosomal RNA". It matches the Rfam family "Bacterial small subunit ribosomal RNA", at positions 15 to 258 of the family's 1533-position model. The record is from RNAcentral.
GAUCAUGGCUCAGGAUGAACGCUAGCUACAGGCUUAACACAUGCAAGUCGAGGGGCAUCAGGAAGAAAGCUUGCUUUCUUUGCUGGCGACCGGCGCACGGGUGAGUAACACGUAUCCAACCUACCCUUUACUCGGGGAUAGCCUUUCGAAAGAAAGAUUAAUACCCGAUGGCAUAAUGAUUCCGCAUGGUUUCUAUUAUUAAAGGAUUCGUAAGGAUGGGGAUGCGUUCCAUUAGGUUGUUGGUGAGGG